GACGAACGCUGGCGGCGUGCUUAACACAUGCAAGUCGAACGCGCCUGUCCUCUGGGUUUCUGGGGGGUGGGUGAGUGGCGAACGGGUGAGUAACACGUGAGUAACCUGCCCCCUUCUUCGGGAUAACGGUCUGAAAGGGCUGCUAAUACCGGGUAUUCACUGGUCUCCGCAUGGGGUCUGGUGGAAAGGUUUUUUUCUGGUGGGGGAUGGGCUCGCGGCCUAUCAGCUUGUUGGUGGGGUGAUGGCCCACCAAGGCUUUGACGGGUAGCCGGCCUGAGAGGGUGACCGGUCACAUUGGGACUGAGAUACGGCCCAGACUCCUACGGGAGGCAGCAGUGGGGAAUAUUGCACAAUGGGCGCAAGCCUGAUGCAGCGACGCCGCGUGAGGGAUGGAGGCCGUCGGGUUGUGAACCUCUUUCGCCCGUGGUCAAGCCGCGACGUGGGUCGUGGUGAGGGUAGUGGGUAAAGAAGCGCCGGCCAACUACGUG
RNAcentral lists this ribosomal RNA (488 nucleotides) under uncultured bacterium. RNAcentral's name for it is "partial 16S ribosomal RNA". It matches the Rfam family "Bacterial small subunit ribosomal RNA", at positions 28 to 507 of the family's 1533-position model. The record is from RNAcentral.